UGCGAAGGUGGCGGAAUUGGUAGACGCGCUAGCUUCAGGUGUUAGUGUCCUUACGGACGUGGGGGUUCAAGUCCCCCCCCUCGCACCCA
Molecule: transfer RNA, 89 nt
Filed under: Escherichia coli
Lineage: Bacteria; Pseudomonadati; Pseudomonadota; Gammaproteobacteria; Enterobacterales; Enterobacteriaceae
Description: tRNA-Ser(cag)
Rfam family: tRNA
About the family: Transfer RNA (tRNA) molecules are approximately 80 nucleotides in length. Their secondary structure includes four short double-helical elements and three loops (D, anti-codon, and T loops). Further hydrogen bonds mediate the characteristic L-shaped molecular structure. tRNAs have two regions of fundamental functional importance: the anti-codon, which is responsible for specific mRNA codon recognition, and the 3' end, to which the tRNAs corresponding amino acid is attached (by aminoacyl-tRNA synthetases). tRNAs cope with the degeneracy of the genetic code in two manners: having more than one tRNA (with a specific anti-codon) for a particular amino acid; and 'wobble' base-pairing, i.e. permitting non-standard base-pairing at the 3rd anti-codon position.
Source: RNAcentral